GACGAACGCUGGCGGCGUGCCUAAUACAUGCAAGUAGAACGCUGAAGGAGGAGCUUGCUUCUCUGGAUGAGUUGCGAACGGGUGAGUAACGCGUAGGUAACCUGCCUGGUAGCGGGGGAUAACUAUUGGAAACGAUAGCUAAUACCGCAUAAGAGUAGAUGUUGCAUGACAUUUGCUUAAAAGGUGCAAUUGCAUCACUACCAGAUGGACCUGCGUUGUAUUAGCUAGUUGGUGGGGUAACGGCUCACCAAGGCGACGAUACAUAGCCGACCUGAGAGGGUGAUCGGCCACACUGGGACUGAGACACGGCCCAGACUCCUACGGGAGGCAGCAGUAGGGAAUCUUCGGCAAUGGACGGAAGUCUGACCGAGCAACGCCGCGUGAGUGAAGAAGGUUUUCGGAUCGUAAAGCUCUGUUUAAGAGAAGAACGAGUGUGAGAGUGGAAAGUUCACACUGUGACGGUAUCUUACCAGAAAGGGACGGCUAACUACGUG
This 494-nucleotide ribosomal RNA is filed under the name uncultured bacterium. Its description in RNAcentral is "partial 16S ribosomal RNA". It matches the Rfam family "Bacterial small subunit ribosomal RNA", at positions 28 to 507 of the family's 1533-position model. The record is from RNAcentral.